Vitis vinifera (wine grape) is the source of this 927-nucleotide long non-coding RNA. RefSeq lists it as uncharacterized. The transcript has 3 exons. Lineage: Eukaryota; Viridiplantae; Streptophyta; Magnoliopsida; Vitales; Vitaceae. The record is from RefSeq and is a predicted model, not a curated record.
AACACCCGGGCUUUUCUUUUAAGGGUAAUUUAGGAAAUUGUUAUUACUAAUUAAAUUAAUUAAUUAAUUAAUUUAAUAAAGUGGAAGAGGGGUAAAAGUGUAAUUUUACGAAUAAAUACCCUAGGUAUAAAUUAGAAAUUUUAUUCUUUCCCUUCUUUUCUGAAUAGAGUUCCUGUUCGCAGAAUUCCAGAGAACGUAAGGUUGGUGUCAGAUUUCAGGGUUGAAGAACAGAUCUCUAUAGGUGAAGAGUAGAUUAUAUUUUUUCAGAAUUAUUCUUCUUCCAAGCUUUCAAGGACUUCUUUUGAGGUACUCUUAGUUCGGGUGAGGAGUGAUGGCUAGGCUGAGGAAUGGUCAUCAUUAGGAUUUGACUUAGGAUUUUAUGUUGGAUUUUGUUUAACUAUUAGUUAUGUUAUUUUGGAUCAUUUGGUAUUUGGAAGUUAUUUGGAAAUUGAACUUUGAGGAUUUUAGAUUUUGUUUCCGCUACUCUGAGCAGGUAUUUGGUAAUUGGUAACAUCCAGUUACAACAUGACUGUUUGGGUCAGAUUAUACUUUAAGCCUUCGGGUUUGAGGUGUGAAAUGACCGUCACGCCCUUGGAGUGGGUCUUGGGGCGUGACAGAGUGGUAUCAGAGCACUAGGUUGUGAUCUUGAUGGGAACUUGUUUGGUGUACCUUUGGGAAUAGAUGAGUGACGUAUUAGUUUAAGUUUCAACUUCAUCUAGUCUGAUUCCUUUUAUUCCUUACAAUUCUGAUUUGCUUAUUUGACUUCUUAGUGACUAAUUUAGUUACACCUAUUGCUUUAUAGGACACCAUGCCACCAAGGAGACCUGCAUCUUCCCAAAACAGUCAGGCUAAUGAUGAUGUACCUCCAGUUGAGGGUUUGCCUCCCGUGAGUGCAGAAGGGAUCUAUAGGUAUCUUGGGACACUAGC